GUCUCAGGCCGGAUCAGCCUGAAGGCGCCCGAUCUCGUCUGAUCUCGGAAGUCUAAGCAGGGUCGGGCCUGGUUAGUAUCUUGGAUGGGAGACCACCUGGGAAUCCCGGGUGCGUCGAGGCU
RNAcentral lists this ribosomal RNA (122 nucleotides) under Bison bison bison. Lineage: Eukaryota; Metazoa; Chordata; Mammalia; Artiodactyla; Bovidae. The record is from RNAcentral.